Molecule: small nuclear RNA, 20 nt
Filed under: Arabidopsis thaliana (thale cress)
Lineage: Eukaryota; Viridiplantae; Streptophyta; Magnoliopsida; Brassicales; Brassicaceae
Description: snRNA_05171
Source: RNAcentral
GAACAGUCAGCUCAGAACUG